GACAGAGGGUGCAACCGUUGUUCGGAAUUACUGGGCGUACAGCGCGUGUAGGCCGCUCGGCAAGUCGGGUGUGAAAGCCCUGGGCUUAACCUAGGAAGUGCACUCGAAACUUCCGAGCUUGAGUUCUGGAGAGGAAGGCGGAAUUCUCGGUGUAGAGGUGAAAUUCGUAGAUAUCGAGAGGAACACCGGUGGCGAAGGCGGCCGUCUGGACAGUGACUGACGCUGAGACGCGAAAGCGUGGGGAGCAAACAGG
This 253-nucleotide ribosomal RNA is filed under the name uncultured bacterium. Its description in RNAcentral is "partial 16S ribosomal RNA". It matches the Rfam family "Bacterial small subunit ribosomal RNA", at positions 524 to 776 of the family's 1533-position model. The record is from RNAcentral.